UACGUAGGGUGCAAGCGUUGUCCGGAAUUAUUGGGCGUAAAGAGCUCGUAGGCGGCUUGUCACGUCGGCUGUGAAAACCCGGGGCUCAACCUCGGGCUUGCAGUGGGUACGGGCAGACUAGAGUGCGGUAGGGGUGACUGGAAUUCCUGGUGUAGCGGUGGAAUGCGCAGAUAUCAGGAGGAACACCGAUGGCGAAGGCAGGUCACUGGGCCGCAACUGACGCUGAGGAGCGAAAGCGUGGGUAGCAAACAGG
This 253-nucleotide ribosomal RNA is filed under the name uncultured bacterium. RNAcentral's name for it is "partial 16S ribosomal RNA". It matches the Rfam family "Bacterial small subunit ribosomal RNA", at positions 524 to 776 of the family's 1533-position model. The record is from RNAcentral.